UGAGACAGUAUCUCUUGUUCAUGGAUGAC
Molecule: non-coding RNA, 29 nt
Filed under: Rattus norvegicus (Norway rat)
Lineage: Eukaryota; Metazoa; Chordata; Mammalia; Rodentia; Muridae
Source: RNAcentral